GACGAACGCUGGCGGCGUGCUUAACACAUGCAAGUCGAACGGUAAGGCCCUUCGGGGUACACGAGUGGCGAACGGGUGAGUAACACGUGGGUGAUCUGCCCUGCACUUCGGGAUAAGCCUGGGAAACUGGGUCUAAUACCGGAUAGGAUUCCUGGCUUCAUGGUUGGGGGUGGAAAGCUUUUGCGGUGUGGGAUGGGCCCGCGGCCUAUCAGCUUGUUGGUGGGGUAAUGGCCUACCAAGGCGACGACGGGUAGCCGGCCUGAGAGGGUGACCGGUCACACUGGGACUGAGAUACGGCCCAGACUCCUACGGGAGGCAGCAGUGGGGAAUAUUGCACAAUGGGCGCAAGCCUGAUGCAGCGACGCCGCGUGAGGGAUGACGGCCUUCGGGUUGUAAACCUCUUUCAGCUAUGACGAAGCGCAAGUGACGGUAGUAGCAGAAGAAGGACCGGCCAACUACGUGCCAGAAGCCGCCGUAA
This 478-nucleotide ribosomal RNA is filed under the name uncultured bacterium. RNAcentral's name for it is "partial 16S ribosomal RNA". It matches the Rfam family "Bacterial small subunit ribosomal RNA", at positions 28 to 523 of the family's 1533-position model. The record is from RNAcentral.